This 846-nucleotide ribosomal RNA is filed under the name uncultured bacterium. Its description in RNAcentral is "partial 16S ribosomal RNA". The record is from RNAcentral.
CGCUUGGCCGCUGACAGUAUAUCGCCAACAGCGAGUGAUGAUCGUUUACGGCGUGGACUACCAGGGUAUCUAAUCCUGUUCGCUCCCCACGCUUUCGUCCCUCAGCGUCAGUUACAUGUUAGUAAGCUGCCUUCGCAAUCGGUGUUCUGAGUCAUAUCUAUGCAUUUCACCGCUACAUGACUCAUUCCGCCUACUUCAUUUGUACUCAAGGUCUCCAGUAUCAAUGGCAGUUCGACAGUUGAGCUGUCGGCUUUCACCACUGACUUAAAGACCCGCCUACGGACCCUUUAAACCCAAUGAAUCCGGAUAACGCUUGGAUCCUCCGUAUUACCGCGGCUGCUGGCACGGAGUUAGCCGAUCCUUAUUCGUAUGGUACCGUCAGUUAUCUACACGUAGAUAAGUUUCUUCCCAUAUAAAAGAAGUUUACAACCCAUAGGGCCGUCAUCCUUCACGCGGCAUGGCUGGGUCAGAGUUGCCUCCAUUGCCCAAUAUUCCUCACUGCUGCCUCCCGUAGGAGUCUGGUCCGUGUCUCAGUACCAGUGUGGGGGGUCACCCUCUCAGGCCCCCUACCCAUCGUUGCCUUGGUGAGCCGUUACCUCACCAACAAGCUAAUGGGACGCAUGCCCAUCUCAUACCGAAAUUCUUUAAUCACAGAAACAUGCGAAUCUGUGAUACUAUGGAGCAUUAAUCCUCGUUUCCAAGGGCUAUUCUCCAGUAUGAGGUAGGUUGCAUACGCGUUACGCACCCGUGCGCCGGUCGUCAGCGGAAGCAAGCUUCCCUGUUACCCCUCGACUUGCAUGUGUUAAGCCUGCCGCUAGCGUUCAUCCUGAGCCAGGAUCAAACUCU